AUGGCCUGGACCCCUCUCUUUGUGCCUCUUGUCUAUCUCUAUGCAGGUUCUGUGGCCUCCUAUGAGCUGACCCAACCACCUUCAGCAUCAGUCAGUGUAGGAGAGACUGUCAAAAUCACCUGCUCUGGGGAGCAAUUGCCAAAAAAAUAUGCUCAUUGGUUUCAGCAAAAGUCAGACCAGACCAUUUUGCAAGUGAUAUACAAAGAUAGUGAGCGCCCCUCGGGGAUCCCUGAACGAUUCUCUGGGUCCAGUUCAGGGACAACAGCCACCUUGACCAUCAGUGAUGUCCGGGCUGAGGAUGAGGCUGACUAUUACUGUUUGUCAUCAUAUGCUGAGGGUGAUAGCAGCUUCUUCCACAGUGAUUUAGGCAGAUGGGGAAGUGUCUCUGUAACUUUUUCUCUGUAA
Cricetulus griseus (Chinese hamster) is the source of this 405-nucleotide non-coding RNA. NCBI's taxonomy places the organism in Eukaryota, Metazoa, Chordata, Mammalia, Rodentia, Cricetidae. The record is from the annotation of a RefSeq genome assembly.